GGACCCGCACAAGCGGUGGAGUAUGUGGUUUAAUUCGAUGCAACACGAAGAACCUUACCAGGGUUUGAAAUCAUUUCAAAACUCCUUGAAAGAGGAGCCUCCUUCGGGAUGAAAUGACAGGUGGUGCAUGGCUGUCGUCAGCUCGUGUCGUGAGAUGUUCGGUUAAGUCCGGCAACGAGCGCAACCCACAUCCCUAGUUGCCAGCAGUUCGGCUGGGCACUCUAUGGAAACUGCCCGUGAUAAGCGGGAGGAAGGUGUGGAUGACGUCAAGUCCUCAUGGCCCUUACGGGUUGGGCUACACACGUGCUACAAUGGUAGUGACAAUGGGUUAAUCCCAAAAAGCUAUCUCAGUUCGGAUUGUCGUCUGCAACUCGACGGCAUGAAGUCGGAAUCGCUAGUAA
RNAcentral lists this ribosomal RNA (401 nucleotides) under uncultured bacterium. RNAcentral's name for it is "bacterial SSU rRNA". It matches the Rfam family "Bacterial small subunit ribosomal RNA", at positions 917 to 1341 of the family's 1533-position model. The record is from RNAcentral.